CUGGAAACAAGUUGCUAUGUAUCUUUGCAACUGAAUACUACUAAGCAAUAAAAAGGAAUGAACUACUGUUAUGCCCAAAAAAUAUGAAUAAAUCUCGGAAAUAUUAUGCUGAGCAAAAGAAAUGGACACAAAGGAGUACAUGCUGUUGAUUCCAUUUACAUGAAAUUCUAGAGAGGCAUAAUUAAUCUUUAGUGACAGAAAGCAGAACAGUGGUCCUCUGCAGCUAGGGGUGGUAGGGAUUGACAGCAAAGGGGUACAAGGGAACUAUUUGGGGUGAUAGAAAUGUAUGUUCUUAUUGUGGUAGUAAUUACAUGGUGCAUACAUUUGUCAAAAAUCAUCAAACUAUAAACUUAAAAUGACUUUAUUUAAUGACAUAUAAAUUGUACCUCUAUAAAUUUUAUUUUAAAAGAAAAAAUAUAAUUCAGCAAUAAAAAGGGAUCAAGUACUCAAGUGAUAUCAGCAUCAUGGUGGAGUGAGUUGUUCCUUUAGUCUCUUCCCCAUAAGCUAUAACCAAAUGGACAUUUAUUAACCAACAGAGGAUUCCCUAAAAAGCACAACAGGACAUCUGAGAGAUCCACGCAGCCAUAAAUCUGAAGCUGGGGAUACUGGAUCCCGAGGAAGCAGUGGAAGGAGAAUGAAACAAAACGGGAUGAAGUACUGAUACAUGCUACAUCAUGGAUGAAACUCAAAAACAUUAUGGUAAGUGAAAGAAGCCAGAUACAAAAAGAUGACAUAUUGCGUGAUCCCAUUUUGUGAAAUGGUCAGGAAAGACAACUUUGUAGAGACAAUGAGUAAAUUAGUGGUUGCAUGGGGGGUCGGGAACAAGAGUGGCUGCAGCUGGACCUGAGCAAUCUCUUUGGGGAUGAUGGAAAUGUUCUAAAGUUGGAUUAUGAUCAUAGUAGUACAAUAUUGUAAAUAUACUAAAAAUCAUUUAAUUGUACACUGAAGAUGAGUGAAUUUAUGGUUUGUAAAUUACAUUUCAAUAAAGCUCUUUUAUAAAGAUAAUUGACCAAUAUGGUCCAGGAAUCCUGCUCCUUGGUAUUUACCCAAAUAAGUUGAAAGCUUAUGUGUACACAAAACCCAGCACUUAGAUUUUUAUAGCACUUUAUUCAUAAUUGCCAAAUCUUGGAAGCAACAAAGAUGUCCUUUAGUAGGUGAAUGGAUAAAUAAACUGUGGUACAUCCAGACAAUGGAAUAUUCAGCAUUAAAAAGAAAUGAGCUAUCAAGCCAUGAAAAGACAUGGAGGAAUCUUAAAUGCAUAUUACUAAGGGAAAGAAGCCAAUCUGAAAAGGCUACAUAUUGUAUGAUUCCAACUGCUUUACAUUCUGGAAAAGGUAAAAUUUAUGGAGUGGUAGAGGGGAAUGAAUAAGCAGACCAGAGGCUUUUUAGGGCAGUGAAACUAUUCUGUAUGCUAUUAUAAUAGUGGAGACAUGUCACUAUACAUUUGUCAAAAAUCAUAAAAUGUACACCACCAAGAGUGAACUCGAAUGUAAACUAUGGACUUCGUGGUAGUUGUAACGUGCCAAUGUAGGUUCAUCGAUUGUAUCAAAUAUACCACUCUGGUGCCGAAUGUUGAUCAUGGAGGAGGCUGUGUGUGUGAGGUGCAGGGAACAUGUGGGAAUUCUCUGUAUUUUCAGUUCAGUUCUGCUGUGAAUUUAGCAGCCCUAAAACUGCUCUAAAAAAUAAACUCUAUUAAAAAGAAGAAGAAAUAAGCUAUCAAGCCAUGAAAAGACAUGGAGGAAACUCAAAUGCAUAUUAGUAAGUGAAAGAAGCCAAUCUGCAAAGGUUACAAAUUGUAUGAUUCAAACUAUAUAACAUUCUGGAAAAGGUAAAACUAUGGGGACAGUAAAAAGAUCAGUGGAGGGCCGGCCGGUGGCGCAGCGGUUAAGUGCGCACGUUCCCCUUCGGCAGCCCAGGGUUUGCCAGUUCGGAUCCUGGGUGCGGACAUGGUACCACUUGGCAAAAGCCAUGCUGUGGUAGGCGUCCCAUGUAUAAAGUAGAGCAUGGAUGUUAGCUCAGGGCCAGUCUUCCUCAGCAAAAAGAGGAGGAUUGGCAGUAGUUAGCUCAGGGCUGAUCUUCCUCAAAAAAAAAAAAAAAAUCAGUGGCUGCCAAGGGUUAGUGGGGAGAGAGGGAUGAAUAGGUAGAGUAUAGAGGAUUCUUAGGGCAGUGAAACUAUUCUGUGUGAUAUUAUAAUGGUGAGCACAUUUGUUAAGACUCAUAGAAUGUACAACACCAAGGGUGAACCCUAAUGUAAACUAUGAAUUGUGCAUGAUAAUGGUGUGUCAACCUAGGUUCAUCAAUUGUAACCAAUGUACCACUCUGGUGGUGUGGGAUUUUGAGA
Molecule: long non-coding RNA, 2341 nt
Organism: Equus caballus (horse)
Lineage: Eukaryota; Metazoa; Chordata; Mammalia; Perissodactyla; Equidae
Source: Ensembl